This 497-nucleotide ribosomal RNA is filed under the name uncultured bacterium. Its description in RNAcentral is "partial 16S ribosomal RNA". It matches the Rfam family "Bacterial small subunit ribosomal RNA", at positions 28 to 507 of the family's 1533-position model. The record is from RNAcentral.
GAUGAACGCUGGCGGCGUGCCUAAUACAUGCAAGUCGAGCGAACAGAUGAGGAGCUUGCUCCUCUGACGUUAGCGGCGGACGGGUGAGUAACACGUGGAUAACCUACCUAUAAGACUGGGAUAACUUCGGGAAACCGGAGCUAAUACCGGAUAAUAUAUUGAACCGCAUGGUUCAAUAGUGAAAGACGGUUUUGCUGUCACUUAUAGAUGGAUCCGCGCCGCAUUAGCUAGUUGGUAAGGUAACGGCUUACCAAGGCAACGAUGCGUAGCCGACCUGAGAGGGGGAGCGGCCACACUGGAACUGAAACACGGCCCAGACCCCUACGGGAGGCAGCAGUAGGGAAUCUUCCGCAAUGGGCGAAAGCCUGACGGAGCAACGCCGCGUGAGUGAUGAAGGUCUUCGGAUCGUAAAACUCUGUUAUUAGGGAAGAAAAAAUGUGUAAGUAACUGUGCACGUCUUGACGGUACCUAAUAAGAAAGCCACGGCUAACUACGUG